RNAcentral lists this ribosomal RNA (265 nucleotides) under uncultured bacterium. Its description in RNAcentral is "partial 16S ribosomal RNA". It matches the Rfam family "Bacterial small subunit ribosomal RNA", at positions 91 to 354 of the family's 1533-position model. The record is from RNAcentral.
UUUAGUGGCGGACGGGUGAGUAACACGUGAGCAACCUACCUUUCAGAGGGGGAUAACAGUUGGAAACGACUGCUAAUACCGCAUAACGUUGUAAAAGGGCAUCCAUUUACAACCAAAAGAGAAAUCUGCUGAAAGAUGGGCUCGCGGCCGAUUAGAUAGUAGGCGGGGUAACGGCCCACCUAGUCAACGAUCGGUAGCCGGACUGAGAGGUUGAACGGCCACAUUGGGACUGAGACACGGCCCAGACUCCUACGGGAGGCAGCAG